GGGGACGUAGCUCACUUGGGAGAGCGCUUGAAUGGCAUUCAAGAGGUAGAGGGUUCGAUCCCCUUCGUCUCCACCA
RNAcentral lists this transfer RNA (76 nucleotides) under Bacillota bacterium. RNAcentral describes it as "tRNA-Ala". It matches the Rfam family "tRNA". Rfam says of the family: Transfer RNA (tRNA) molecules are approximately 80 nucleotides in length. Their secondary structure includes four short double-helical elements and three loops (D, anti-codon, and T loops). Lineage: Bacteria; Bacillati; Bacillota. RNAcentral also lists the same sequence under 6 other names. The record is from RNAcentral.